CUCACCUGUUGUACCAGUUGAAGAGCAGCCAGUUCACCCCCUCCAGCUGGUACUCCCGCAGUUGGUUGUGGUUCUUGUACUCGUGCGAGGCCUCGAGCUUCUUCCAGGCGCCGGCCUGGGGGCGGGGCUGGCACAGGUGAGGCACAGGUGAGAGAUACAGGUGAGAUAUACAGGUGAGAUAUACAGGUGAGAUAUACAGGUGAGAUAUAGAUCAAAUACAUGUAAAAUAACUCAUACAGGUGAGACACAGGUGAGACUCAGGUGAGACACAGGUGAGAGACAGGUGAAGGACAGGUGAGACACAGGUGAGACACAGGUCAAAUAUAUGUAAAAUAGCUCAUACAGGUGAGACACAGGUAAGUUACAAAUGAGAUUAAAGUGAAACACAGGUGAGAUACAGAUGAGAUAACUCACACAGGUGAGGGACAGGUGAGACACAGGUGAGAUAACUCACGCAGGUGAGAUACAAGUGAGACUCAGGUGAGAUACAGGUGAGAUAUACAGGUGAGAUAACUCACACAAGUGAGAUAUAGGUCAAAUAUACGUAAAAUAACUCAUACAGGUGAGACACAGGUAAGUUACAAAUGAGAUNACAGGUGUGUUACAGGUGUGUCACACACACAGGUGUGCCCAGGUGAGCUCACCUUGCCGUCCUUGCAGUACAUCUCGUACUGCUGGAUCAUCUGCCGGCUGGCCAGGUGUGUCAGUGACCCCACACAGGUGUGUCACAGGUGUGUUACACACACAAUACAGGUGUGUUACACACCCAGGUGUGCCCAGGUGAGCUCACCUUGCCGUCCUUGCAGUACAUCUCGUACUGCUGGAUCAUCUGCCGGCUGGCCAGGUGUGUCAGUGACCCCAUACAGGUAUAUUACAGAUC
This 880-nucleotide long non-coding RNA is filed under the name Zonotrichia albicollis (white-throated sparrow). Its description in RNAcentral is "lncRNA (ENSZALG00000002804.1)". Lineage: Eukaryota; Metazoa; Chordata; Aves; Passeriformes; Passerellidae. The record is from RNAcentral.